Molecule: ribosomal RNA, 173 nt
Filed under: uncultured bacterium
Lineage: Bacteria
Description: partial 16S ribosomal RNA
Rfam family: Bacterial small subunit ribosomal RNA
Source: RNAcentral
CAUGAAGCUGGAUUCGCUGUAAUCGCGCAUCAGCCACGGCGCGGUGAAUACGUUCCCGGGCCUUGUACACACCGCCCGUCAAGCCAUGGAAGCCGGGAGUGCCUGAAGUGCGUGAGCGCAAGCAGCGCCCUAAGGUAAAACCGGUGACUGGGGCUAAGUCGUAACAAGGUACC